UACGAAGGGGGCUAGCGUUGCUCGGAAUUACUGGGCGUAAAGCGCACGUAGGCGGCUUUGUAAGUAAGAGGUGAAAGCCUGGAGCUCAACUCCAGAAUUGCCUUUUAGACUGCAUCGCUUGAAUCAUGGAGAGGUGAGUGGAAUUCCGAGUGUAGAGGUGAAAUUCGUAGAUAUUCGGAAGAACACCAGUGGCGAAGGCGGCUCACUGGACAUGUAUUGACGCUGAGGUGCGAAAGCGUGGGGAGCAAACAGG
This 253-nucleotide ribosomal RNA is filed under the name uncultured bacterium. RNAcentral describes it as "partial 16S ribosomal RNA". It matches the Rfam family "Bacterial small subunit ribosomal RNA", at positions 524 to 776 of the family's 1533-position model. The record is from RNAcentral.